Molecule: ribosomal RNA, 1398 nt
Filed under: uncultured bacterium
Lineage: Bacteria
Description: bacterial SSU rRNA
Rfam family: Bacterial small subunit ribosomal RNA
Source: RNAcentral
UUAGAGUUUGAUCCUGGCUCAGGAUGAACGCUGGCGGCAUGCCUAAUACAUGCAAGUCGAACGAGAGACCUUCGGGUCUCUAGUGGCGAACGGGUGAGUAACACGUAGGGAACCUGCCCGCGCACCGGGAAUACGCUCUGGAAACGGAGAACAAAUCCCGAAGUACAGGAAGGAGGCAUCUUCUUUCUGUGAAACAUCCUUUCGGGGAUGGGGCGCGGAUGGACCUGCGGUGCAUUAGUUGGUUGGCGGGGUAAAGGCCCACCAAGACGAUGAUGCAUAGCCGGCCUGAGAGGGCGGACGGCCACAUUGGGACUGAGACACGGCCCAGACUCCUGCGGGAGGCAGCAGUAGGGAAUUUUCGUCAAUGGGCGCAAGCCUGAACGAGCGAUGCCGCGUGAGUGAAGGAGGCCUUCGGGUCGUAAAGCUCUGUUGCGGGGGAAAAAAGGCAGCAUCAGGAAAUGGGUGCUGACUGAUGGAGCCCCGCCAGAAAGUCACGGCUAACUACGUGCCAGCAGCCGCGGUAAUACGUAGGUGGCGAGCGUUAUCCGGAAUGAUUGGGCGUAAAGGGUGCGCAGGCGGUCCUGCAAGUCUGGAGUGAAACGCAUGAGCUCAACUCAUGCAUGGCUUUGGAAACUGGAGGACUGGAGAGCAGGAGAGGGCGGUGGAACUCCAUGUGUAGCGGUAAAAAUGCGUAGAUAUAUGGAAGAACACCAGUGGCGAAGGCGGGCCGCCUGGCCUGUUGCUGACGCUGAGGCACGAAAGCGUGGGGAGCAAAUAGGAUUAGAUACCCUAGUAGUCCACGCCGUAAACGAUGAGGACCAAGUGUUGGGGGUGAAACCUCAGUGCUGAAGUUAACGCAGUGAGUCCUCCGCCUGGGGAGUAUGCACGCAAGUGUGAAACUCAAAGGAAUUGACGGGGGCCCGCACAAGCGGUGGAGUAUGUGGUUUAAUUCGAAGCAACGCGAAGAACCUUACCAGGCCUUGACAUCCUGAUGGCGUAGGCGUAACGGCUUAUUCCCCUCGGGGCAUCAGAGACAGGUGGUGCAUGGUUGUCGUCAGCUCGUGUCGUGAGAUGUUGGGUCAAGUCCCGCAACGAGCGCAACCCUUAUUCCCAGUAGCCAGCAUUUUGGAUGGGCACUCUGGGGAGACUGCCGGGGAAGACCCGGAGGAAGGCGGGGAUGACGUCAAAUCAUCAUGCCCCUUAUGGCCUGGGCUACACACGUGCUACAAUGGCGCAUACAAAGGGAGGCGAAGGAGCGAUCUGAAGCAAAUCCCAGAAAAGGCGCCCCAGUUCGGAUUGCAGCCUGCAACUCGGCUGCAUGAAGCUGGAAUCGCUAGUAAUCGCGGAUCAGAAUGCCGCGGUGAAUACGUUCCCGGGUCUUGCACUCACCGCCCGUCA